UCAAAAACCACAAUUUCCACCUG
RNAcentral lists this non-coding RNA (23 nucleotides) under Arabidopsis thaliana (thale cress). The record is from RNAcentral. Lineage: Eukaryota; Viridiplantae; Streptophyta; Magnoliopsida; Brassicales; Brassicaceae.